Molecule: long non-coding RNA, 187 nt
Organism: Lolium rigidum
Lineage: Eukaryota; Viridiplantae; Streptophyta; Magnoliopsida; Poales; Poaceae
Exons: 3
Source: RefSeq, a predicted model, not a curated record
UUGGCUGUGUCUGAUGCUCCAGAUUCUUCGCCUGCCCCGUCCGCUGCUCCUUUGAUGGACAAACCAUCAACCAUGUGCAACCAGCAGCGGACUCCGGCGGAUGGAAUGGGCAAGAAGAAGGCCUGACCUAGAGACAGGUGAAUUCGUAUCCCAACGGACCGAGGAUUUACAACAAUUGGUAUUGGAC